CAAUAGUAUGUCCCAUUCCUCUUUUCAUACCCGUCUGAACCCACAUGAAGGCGCACAGUCUAGCACUGCAGCUGUCUGUGAAGGUUUAGUGCUCGGACUGGAACUGGAACUGGCCCUGUGAUUAUCUUUCUUCUCUGCUGGAGUAGACAGAGUAUAUUUCUACAGGAUAAAUAACGGAAAGCACGGGUAGUUUUGAGACUAUGCAGGAUUAUGACGACGCCACUGCAUUCCUGGGCCACUGGGGACCUUUCCAGCAAAGUGUCUUCUUUCUACUCAGUGCCAGCAUCCUACCAAAUGGAUUUGGGGCUUUUUCUCUAGUCUUCCUGACUGACAUGCCUAGUCACCACUGCCUGGUUCCUGAGGUGAACUUGACCCAAGAAUGGAAUGAAGCAAUCAUCCCGAUAAAGGUGGUGAAUGGGAAACAGGAGCUGAGCAGUUGCAGCAGAUACAGGCUGGAUGUGGUCAGAAAUCUCUCUGCUCAGGGAUAUAUUCCUGGCAGAGACGUCAACCUCACUGACCUGGAGCAAGAGGACUGUGUGGAUGGAUGGAGCUACAGCAAAGACAUCUACCGGUCUACCAUAGUGUCUGAAUUUGACUUGGUGUGCGGUGAGCAGUGGAAGCAGCCAUUCACGUCCACAAUUUACUUCCUGGGAGUUUUAGCUGGAUCCUUCAUUUCAGGACAGGUGUCAGACAGAUUUGGAAGAAAGCCUGUUCUCUUUGCAACCCUGGCAAUUCAAACAAUUUUUAGUUUUGUUGGAAUCUUCGCACCAUCUUGGACGGUGCUCUCCAUCAUCCUUUUCAUCAGUGGUUUGGGGCAAAUCUCCAACUAUGUGUCUGCUUUUGUACUAGGCACUGAAAUCUUGGCUGGCAAUGUGCGUGUCCUGUUCUCAUCUUUGGGUGUAUGUAUGGGUUUUGCCUUGGGCUACAUGAUGUUGCCUCUCUUUGCUUACUUUUUAAGGGACUGGAAAUCCCUCUUGCUGGCUUUGUCUGUGCCUGGUGUAAUAUACCUGCCUGCCUGGUGGUUCAUCCCAGAGUCUCCUCGAUGGCUGCUCACUCAGGGAAGAGUGGAAGAAGCUGAGGCCAUAGUGAGACAUGCUGCUAAGAAGAACAAAGUUGAGGCUCCACAGGUCCUCUUUGAAGAUUACAAUUAUGCUGGAUCAGAAAUAGUGCCCAAGACAGACAUCACACAAACUAAGGAGCAUUACAAUGUCUUCUACCUGCUGCGCACCACCAACAUCAGAAACACAACUGUUACUCUGUGCCUGGUGUGGUUCACUGUGAGUAUUGGCUACUUUGGCCUGUCCCUCAACACAUCCCGACUCCAUGCUAACCCAUAUUUAAGCUGUUUCAUCGCAGCAGCUGUAGAGGUGCCAUCCUACAUCUCUAGCUGGCUGGCUCUGCGAUAUCUUCCACGCCGGCUUUCCGUCAUUUGUGUUUUGCUCCUUGGAGGAGUGUCACUUUAUUUCGUUCAACUGGUGCCUCAAGGUUUAUCAUAUCUGUCUAUUGCUCUGGAGAUGCUGGGUAAAUAUGGUCUUACGGCUUGUACAUCCCUGAUAUUUGUCUACACAGCAGAGCUUUACCCCACAGUGCUCAGGAACACCACAACUGGGGUAUGUGCUACUCUGUCAAGAGUGGGAAGCUGUAUUGCACCUUUUGUGUUCGAGCUGAACACAAAACCCAGACCUCUCUCACACACAAAUUUCUCCCUGUACUUGUGCAGGUGUGUACUUUAAGUACCUGCCCUAUAUUCUACUGGGAACUCUGGCCAUUGUGUCUGCCUUUGCCACUUUCUUCCUACCAGAGAGUUUUGGACGACCUCUGCCUCAAACUAUUGAACAGAUGCAUAAGAAAGAAAGGAUGAAGUGCCCAUUCAUCACUAGAAAAGAACUUUCAAAACCUGUAGUACUUCACGAAAGUCAACUCUGAUUGUUUGGAAUAUAAGAAGAUUCAAAACUUCGAUUAUUUAUAAUUGAAACACAGGAUUUUGGGAGAAAUUAAGUUGUCUGCGUCAUAAAGACAGCGACGUUGACGUUUUGAAUCGCAAAAAUGUAUACAAAAUAUUCACCUGGAACUGUACUGUAAAAAAAUACAUAUUAGAUCUGAAGUAAAAGAUGGCCAUAAAACUCUAAACAAAACUAGUGUACUGGUUUUGAUUUACCAGGUAUAAUAUUAAAAACUUUCUACGAUG
Amphiprion ocellaris (clown anemonefish) is the source of this 2188-nucleotide RNA transcript. It is a transcript of the gene named organic cation/carnitine transporter 2-like, with no coding region annotated. The record is from RefSeq and is a predicted model, not a curated record. Lineage: Eukaryota; Metazoa; Chordata; Actinopteri; Pomacentridae. The transcript is spliced from 12 exons.